UACGUAGGUGGCAAGCGUUGUCCGGAAUUAUUGGGCGUAAAGCGCGCGCAGGCGGUCCUUUAAGUCUGAUGUGAAAAGCCCACGGCUCAACCGUGGAGGGUCAUUGGAAACUGGGGGGACUUGAGUGCAGGAGAGAAGAGUGGAAUUCCACGUGUAGCGGUGAAAUGCGUAGAGAUGUGGAGGAACACCAGUGGCGAAGGCGGCUCUCUGGACCGAUACUGACGCUGAGGCGCGAAAGCGUGGGGAGCAAACAGG
Molecule: ribosomal RNA, 255 nt
Filed under: uncultured bacterium
Lineage: Bacteria
Description: partial 16S ribosomal RNA
Rfam family: Bacterial small subunit ribosomal RNA
Source: RNAcentral